UUCCGGUUGAUCCUGCCGGAGGUUACUGCUAUCGAGGUUCGACUAAGCCAUGCGAGUCGAAUGUAGCAAUACAUGGCGUACUGCUCAGUAACACGUGGAUAACCUACCCUUGAGAUGGGAAUAAACCCGGGAAACUGGGUAUAAUACCCGAUAGAUCUCGACUGCUGGAAUGCAUCGAGAUCCAAAGCUCCGGCGCUCAAGGAUGGAUCUGCGGCCUAUCAGGUAGUAGUGGGUGUAGUGUACCUACUAGCCUACGACGGGUACGGGUUGUGAGAGCAAGAGCCCGGAGAUGGAUUCUGAGACACGAAUCCAGGCCCUACGGGGUGCAGCAGGCGCGAAAACUUUACAAUGCUGGAAACAGCGAUAAGGGGACCUCGAGUGCCAGGUUACAAAUCUGGCUGUCGUGAUGCCUAAAAAGCAUUGCAUAGCAAGGGCCGGGCAAGACCGGUGCCAGCCGCCGCGGUAACACCGGCGGCUCGAGUGGUAACCGUUAUUAUUGGGUCUAAAGGGUCUGUAGCCGGCCGGAUAAGUCUCUUGGGAAAUCUGGCAGCUUAACUGUCAGGCUUUCAGGAGAUACUGUCUGGCUCGAGGCCGGGAGAGGUGAGAGGUACUUCAGGGGUAGGGGUGAAAUCUUGUAAUCCUUGAAGGACCACCAGUGGCGAAGGCGUCUCACCAGAACGGACCUGACGGCAAGGGACGAAAGCUAGGGGCACGAACCGGAUUAGAUACCCGGGUAGUCCUAGCCGUAAACGAUACUCGCUAGGUGUCGGCAACGGUGCGACCGUUGUCGGUGCCGUAGGGAAGCCGUGAAGCGAGCCACCUGGGAAGUACGGCCGCAAGGCUGAAACUUAAAGGAAUUGGCGGGGGAGCACCACAACGGGUGGAGCUUGCGGUUUAAUUGGAUUCAACGCCGG
RNAcentral lists this ribosomal RNA (914 nucleotides) under uncultured archaeon. Its description in RNAcentral is "bacterial SSU rRNA". It matches the Rfam family "Archaeal small subunit ribosomal RNA", at positions 1 to 921 of the family's 1478-position model. The record is from RNAcentral.